AAGAAUGAGAGGUCUAUUGAGUGAAUAAGAGGUAAUUAAUUGAUUGAAAUAUAUGUCAAUAAAUAACUAAGAUUAUGUUAAGAAUUUAAAAUGAGGUACGGUGAGCAAAUGUUUAUAUUAAAAAGUAAAAGGUGUAGUGAGAAUGAGAGGUAUAAUGAAAAAAUUUAGAGGUCCCAAUAACCAUACUUAAAAGUGAUUAAACAUCUUUUUUUAAGGACCGGCCAACCUUCUUUAUCAUUACUUAAAGCCUUAUUUAAGAAAUACAUGGUUACCACGCAAUUGAAGAUUGUAAUCAUUCAAUCACUCUCUUAAGCAUACAGAAUUUUCAGUACAUAUAUCUCGAUCAUCAAAGAGAUCGUAGUCAUAGCCCAGACAGAUAUACUUUUCCAUAAGCAUAGAUAAUCAUGAGGUGUUGCAAGUUAAUACUCUUCUAAAUGGCCGAGAGUAGGCAAAGAAAGAGUUCCAAUCAUUCAUACUUGUGUUCUUUUUUCCAAGGUAUAAUACUUCUUUAUCUGAUCAAUUGCAAGCUUUCAAUAUUAUAUGCAUGUUUCUAAAUCAUUUUUCUUGAUGAACAUUAGAUGCCAACAUAGCUAAACUGGUAAGAAAUAUUUUAUUGAUAUCGAUCUAGUCCAUUUGUAAAGAAUAAUUGGUUGAUAAGAUUCCUACUUAGCAUUAAAAAAUGUGUUAUUAGAAAGACUCUUUUCACUUAGCAUUAGAAAAAUGUGUUAAAAUUAGAAAGACCUUUCCUGCUUAGCAUCAAAAAAAUGUGUUAUUAGAAAGACCAAGCAUAAAAGAGAGAUGUGAUCAAGUGUGAACUUUGAUUGAUUUCAUCAACAACUCGAAAUGGCAUGAUGAACAUGCACCCUUUGUUA
RNAcentral lists this long non-coding RNA (872 nucleotides) under Fragaria vesca (wild strawberry). Its description in RNAcentral is "long non-coding RNA (FVES_LNC000446)". The record is from RNAcentral. Lineage: Eukaryota; Viridiplantae; Streptophyta; Magnoliopsida; Rosales; Rosaceae.